This 1125-nucleotide long non-coding RNA is filed under the name Malus domestica (apple). RNAcentral's name for it is "long non-coding RNA (MDOM_LNC016416)". The record is from RNAcentral. Lineage: Eukaryota; Viridiplantae; Streptophyta; Magnoliopsida; Rosales; Rosaceae.
AGGGGGUGCAAAACAAAUAUGAGUGGACCAAGUUCAUAUAUACAGUAAUAAUAAAACAGUUAUCAAGAUACUAACCCCCACAGUUUAUAUACAGAAAACUACUAGCAUAAUAAGUGAUAGGUUUACUGAAAACCCUAGCAAGCCAAAAACAUCUCUAAAGACAUCGCAGAAAUCAAAACAUCAAACGUCUCACAGAUUGUCUCGUAAGCGCGGUGUGCUGCCAGUAAAAUCACUGAAUAAAUAUAACUCCCGGCCCUAUGCCAACAUCGUGGUCUCUGCGCCCGUAGCCAAAGAUUACCAACUCCCGGCCCAAUGCCUGCUCCGUGUCCCUCAGCUUGUAGCUAGGGAUUAUUUCUCCCCGCUUAUCUACCAACACCAAAUCCUCACUCUAGGCGGCAUAGUGUCCACUAGGUAUGCACAAAUAGUUACGCCUCUCAUAGAUAACCACUUCAUGGUAUAAAGUCAUCCAUCGUCUAUAUUAUAAAGAGGGGUUUCUAAAACAUGUUCUAGCAUCCUAUCGUCAUCCAUCAGAUAGUCUACUAGUUCAUGGUUUUUUAUAGAAAAUACGAUAUAUCAAACUAUAGCUCAAUAUAGGCUAAUAAUUAAUUUCUCACCAAAAACGAGACAAUAAACAACAUAUUCCAUAAACAUGCUUAACAUAAAAUCAGUUCAUAAACUCGUAAGGCAUGCUAUUCAUUUAUGCAAUUAAACUAUGAAAUCAUGUAAUUUUAGAAGGGGUCCACUCACAGUACUUCGUCGCCGAAGAGUCACACAGCUAGCGAAGACAGAAACGCCACUAUAAUUGCCCCUAAGCAUAUAAAGAGUCCAAUUAAUAAAACUAUAUAAUAGAAAUUGAAUUUGGGAAAGCGAACGUUGGAAACAGAUUCAGAAUGUCUAAGUACUCUAAGAAGGGUCCCAGAUAAAUUUCGUAAAAUGUCAACAGAAUAUCCCUAGAAUAUUCUAAAGAAUAUUCCCUGGCAGAAUAUUCUCUAAUGGAAUAUUCCCUGAUGGAAUAUUUCCAAUAAAAGGUAUGGGCCGGUUAGGGUUUAGCUAAUUAGGUGGGCUAGGUUUAGAGGAGAGGGCUUAGGGCCCUGGUUCAAAAGGCUCGAAGGCUUUAAGCUUAAG